UGGGGAAUAUUGGACAAUGGGCGCAAGCCUGAUCCAGCAAUACCGCGUGUGUGAAGAAGGCCUGAGGGUUGUAAAGCACUUUCAAUGGGGAGGAAUAGCGGUUAGUUAAUACCUGAUCGUGUGACAUUACCCAUACAAGAAGCACCGGCUAACUCCGUGCCAGCAGCCGCGGUAAUACGGAGGGUGCAAGCGUUAAUCGGAAUUACUGGGCGUAAAGCGUGCGUAGGUGGCUCGUUAAGUCAGAUGUGAAAGCCCCGGGCUUAACCUGGGAACGGCAUUUGAAACUGGCGAGCUAGAGUUGAGUAGAGGGGAGUGGAAUUUCAGGUGUAGCGGUGAAAUGCGUAGAUAUCAAGAGGAACACCUGAGGUGAAGACGGGUUGCUGGGCUGACACUGACGCUGAGGCGCGAAAGCCAGGGGAGCAAACGGGAUUAGAUACCCAAGUAGUCCCUGAGCGGGCUGGCAAGGCGCAU
Molecule: ribosomal RNA, 471 nt
Filed under: uncultured bacterium
Lineage: Bacteria
Description: bacterial SSU rRNA
Rfam family: Bacterial small subunit ribosomal RNA
Source: RNAcentral